GAUGAACGCUGGCGGCGUGCCUAAUACAUGCAAGUCGAGCGAACGGACGAGAAGCUUGUUUCUCUGAUGUUAGCGGCGGACGGGUGAGUAACACGUGGAUAACCUACCUAUAAGACUGGGAUAACUUCGGGAAACCAUAGCUAAUACCGCAUAAUAUUUUUAACCGCAUGGUUCAAGAGUGAAAGACGGUCUUGCUGUCACUUAUAGAUGGAUCCGCGCUGCAUUAGCUAGUUGGUAAGGUAACGGCUUACCAAGGCAACGAUGCAUAGCCGACCUGAGAGGGUGAUCGGCCACACUGGAACUGAGACACGGUCCAGACUCCUACGGGAGGCAGCAGUAGGGAAUCUUCCGCAAUGGGCGAAAGCCUGACGGAGCAACGCCGCGUGAGUGAUGAAGGUCUUCGGAUCGUAAAACUCUGUUAUUAGGGAAGAACAUAUGUGUAAGUAACUGUGCACAUCUUGACGGUACCUAAUCAGAAAGCCACGGCUAACUACGUG
This 497-nucleotide ribosomal RNA is filed under the name uncultured bacterium. Its description in RNAcentral is "partial 16S ribosomal RNA". It matches the Rfam family "Bacterial small subunit ribosomal RNA", at positions 28 to 507 of the family's 1533-position model. The record is from RNAcentral.